Molecule: ribosomal RNA, 2524 nt
Filed under: Sphaerospora sp. PB818 ex Chelon labrosus
Lineage: Eukaryota; Metazoa; Cnidaria; Myxozoa; Bivalvulida; Sphaerosporidae
Description: partial 18S ribosomal RNA
Rfam family: Eukaryotic small subunit ribosomal RNA
Source: RNAcentral
ACCUGGUUGAUCCUGCCAGGUAUGAUAUGCUUUUCUCAAAGACUAAGCCAUGCAUGCCUAAGUUCAUACCUUUACACGGUGAAACUGCGAAUGGCUCAGUAAAUCAGUUAUAAUUUAUUUGAUUGUACCGAAGCCUUGUGCUUCCACAUUGGAUAACUGUGGGAAACUAGAGCUAAUACAUGUCACCUGCUACCUCGGGGUAGCGCGCAUUUAUUCGCUCAAAAAACCAACACAUUAUCAGCUAGGCCUGGGUCAAUAGGUUGGCAGGCAAGCAAUUGUCUGUUGAUCUAUCCUGGUGUACGGUUGAGAUGUAUAUGGUGAUUCUGAAUAACUGAUGCUGAUCGUAUAGAGCCUUUGAGCUCACGAUAUUUCAAUCAAAUUUCUGCCCUAUCAUACCUGUUGGUAGGGUAGCGGCCUACCAAAGUGAUGACGGGUAACGGGGAAUCAGGGUUCGAUUCCGGAGRGGCAGCCUGAGAAACGGCUACCACAUCCAAGGAUGGCAGCAGGCGCRCAAACUAUCCAAUCCAGAUAAUGGGAGAUGGUGACGAGAUAUAUUGGAACUCACUGGCUUUGCCGGUCGAGUUACCAGAUAGGCCUUAAUCUAAACCAAUAAUGAUUAUUCAACGGGAGGGCAAGUCUGGUGCCAGCAGCCGCGGUAAUACCAGCUCCUGUAGCAUAUAUGCUCGUUGUUGCGGUUAAAAAGCCCGUAGUUGGAUUACGGUACGCUCGAAAGGUGGUUCAGCUAUAUGGCUGUCUGCACRUAGUGUUGUACAGUUUUGGGUGGUGAGUGUAUGUCUCUAACCUAUUACCACAGUGGGGCUAUUGAGUAGUUGGGUGAAAAUUCAAUUGCUUAAUAGUCACAUUGUGGGUCAAUGGUAGGUUCAGAUGGCACAUUUAUCAUCGUAUAUAUGGUUGAAACGUCAUUAGAGCGUGCUUUCUUGUCCAGCUCAUGUGAUAUCCUUAAUUGGCUACAUGUGAGGCUAGGCAAAUUGUGCCUUGAGUAAAAUAGAGUGCUCCAAGCAGGCAAUGAUUGUAUAAAAACUAUCAUAGCCAGAAUACYCCAGCAUGGAACGAAUGUUCAAUUGCUUAAACAACCCCACAUACCUAGUUAGUUGGUUCACACUGGUGUCAGGGUUAAACCUGGUGUCAGGGUUCUAGGUAGUGUCCAUAGARUAGUGUACCCAGUUGGUGUUGAGUGAGAAGUAGGAUUCACAUGUGUGAUGGCAAGAGCAUUCGACCGAGGAUGCCUCCUAUUUUGUUGCUCCCUGAUUGGGAUAAAAUGCACUCUCUAUGUACGGGUAUCGGUUAACAGAGACAUUUGGGGGCAUUGGUAUUUGGCCGCGAGAGGUGAAAUUCUUUGACCGGUCAAAGACUAACAACUGCGAAAGCAUUUGCCAAAGGUGUUUUCAUUAAUCAAGGACGAUAGUUGGAGGAUCGAAGACGAUUAGAUACCGUCGUAGUUCCAACUGUAAACUAUGCCAACCAGGACUCAGUCCGGAUCAUUUAUAUUUAUCAAUAUAUCACGGAUCCAGGUUGGGUCCCCAGGGAAACCUAAAGUUUUUGGGUUCCGGGGGGAGUAUGGUCGCAAGGCUGAAACUUAAAGGAAUUGACGGAAGGGCACCACCAGGAGUGGAGCCUGCGGCCUAAUUUGACUCAACACGGGGAAUCUCACCAGGUCCGGACAUCGGAAGGAUUGACAGACUGAUAGAUCUUUCAUGAUUCGGUGGAUGGUGGUGCAUGGCCGCUCUUAGUUGGUGGAGUGAUUUGUCUGGUUUUAUUCCGAUCACGGACAUGACUGAGUUCUCUAUUUUGGCCGUAUGAAAGUUUACAUUCGUGAACCUGUUAGGUACACAAAAAGUUUAGCACUAUCGGCUGCAAUGAAUCUGUUGCUUCGGUGAGUGAUGAAGAAGGGUGGUAGUUCAGUUUACAACUUGUAUCAGUAGCUUGUGAAUUGGGAUUUGAGUUCUAGCUAGCAGUAAAGAGAUGGUGUCUAUGACGGAACAUCAAAACUCUUGCUGUACUCCUCAGACGAAAGUUCAUGAGAGAUUGAUGCAGGGCUCUUUGGAGUGAUUCAUCGGUGGUGGGUCUUUGUAGAAGGUAGUGUUGAAUGUGCCUGCAGGCCGGAUAGUGUUCGUGCGCCUUCAUAGAGAGACAACCUGUGGCAAGCAGGGGGAAGUACAGCAAUAGCAGGUCAGUGAUGCCCUUAGAUGUCCUGGGCUGCACGCGCGCUACAAUGGUAACGACAGCGAGUUUCUGUACUGAAAAGUAUGGGUAAUCUUAUUAAUCGUUACCGUGCUGGGGAUUGAGCCUUGAAAUUAUUGCUCAUGAACCUGGAAUUCCUCGUAAGUACGAGUCACCAGCUCGUGCUGAAUACYUCUCUGCCCUUUGUACACACCGCCCGUCGCUACUACCGAUCGAAUGACUUGGUGAGAACAAGGGAUUGUUCGACUCCAUUUUGUGUGUUGGACGAGAGCCUGUUCGAACUGCKUCACUCAGAGKAAAGUAAAAAGUUGUAACAAGGUUU